UGAGGAACUUUGCGCAAUGGGGGAAACCCUGACGCAGCGACGCCGCGUGGAGGACGAAGGCCUUCGGGUCGUAAACUCCUGUCAGAGGUGAAGAAUACCCGCAAGGGUUUGACGGUAACCUCAGAGGAAGCCCCGGCUAACUACGUGCCAGCAGCCGCGGUAAUACGUAGGGGGCAAACGUUACUCGGAAUUACUGGGCGUAAAGGGUGCGUAGGCGGCUGGGAAAGUCAAGGAUGAAAUCCCGUGGCUUAAACUGCGGAACUGUCCUUGAAACUUCCCAGCUUGAGGAUAAUCGAAGAGAACGGAAUUCCCGGUGGAGCGGUGAAAUGCGUAGAUAUCGGGAGGAACACCUGAGGCGAAAGCGGUUCUCUAGACUACUCCUGACGCUGAGGCACGAAAGCUAGGGGAGCGAAACGGGAUUAGGAUACCCCGGUAGUCCUAGCCAUCAACGAUGGAUACUGGAUAUUCCUGCACUCAUGUGGGAGUGUCGAAGCUAACGCGUUAAGUAUCCC
This 512-nucleotide ribosomal RNA is filed under the name uncultured bacterium. RNAcentral describes it as "bacterial SSU rRNA". It matches the Rfam family "Bacterial small subunit ribosomal RNA", at positions 355 to 870 of the family's 1533-position model. The record is from RNAcentral.